RNAcentral lists this long non-coding RNA (1225 nucleotides) under Trifolium pratense (red clover). RNAcentral's name for it is "long non-coding RNA (TPRA_LNC006441)". Lineage: Eukaryota; Viridiplantae; Streptophyta; Magnoliopsida; Fabales; Fabaceae. The record is from RNAcentral.
UUUAGACUUUGAAAUGUAAAUAUGUAAUAGCAAAGUAUAUAGAUUUAUUGGGAAACUAUGAAAUAGGUGAAAUUUUUAGGUUAUUUUCUUUUGUGAUGGAUUAACUGUACAUGAAUGCUGUUUUUGAGUUUAUUCCAAUAAAUUUGGGAAUUGGGUUUCAAAAAAGUUUCUGUUUUGAUUUUUUUGGUUGGAUCAUUCACGGAUUUGGACUUUGAAGUGAUUUACCUGUGAAUGGGUAUUUAAAUUUUUGAUUUUUUGUUUGGUUCGGUUCAGAUCCGUGUUAAAUGUUUAUCCCAGCAGUGUUUAUAUGUUAAGAUUUGGCUAGAAUGAAGUUUUCUAACAUCAAUAUGUGAAUUUGUUACUGGGUUUUCAUCAAAUUUUGGAAGUAUGGUAUCUACUAUUGGGUUAAUUGAUGAUAAGAGAAAGGGAUUCGUUUUUUUGUCUUGAUGUAAACUAAAUUCUGAUGAUUAGGGAUAAUUGGGUAAACUUUGAUGUGGUUCCUAUGUUGGCGGAUAUGAACAAAUCGCAAUUCCAAAUGCCUAGUGUUUUUUUAAUAGCUGCUAUAGUGUAGGCGGAUAUGAACAAAUCGCAAUUGUUCUGCGAUACACAAUUUAGUAUUAAGUGAUGUCAAAUAGCAUCUAUAGCGGCGUUAUAGCACUGUAGUGUAGUGGAAUUUGAACAAAUCGCAAUUUUCUGCAUUUGGAAACACUUCAAAUGGCUUAGUCGGUAGUUAUUGCUGAAAUUGUAACUAGGAAGUGGGAACUAAUAAUAGAAAAGUGUUGAUUGUGGAAAAUUGCUCUUUUAUGAAUGGCUUGUGAAAUCGAACAAGUUGUUAAGCUUUGGCUAUAAUGAAGUUUUCUAACAUCAAUAUGUGAAUUUGUUACUGGGUUUUCAUCAAGUUUUAAAAACAAAGCAUAUACCGUUGGGAUAAUUGAUGAUAAGAACUUUGCCUUGGUACUGGUACCUAUAUUGAAGAUCUGUGUUUAAUUUUGACUUUGAUUGUCAAAUGCCUAAUGUUGACGAAUAGCGGCUAUAGCGUAGGCGAAUUUGGACAAAUCGCAAUUGUUCUGCGAUACACCAUUUAGUAUAAAGUGAUGUCAAAUAGCAGCUAUAAUGGAGUUAUAGCAGUUUAGUGUAGCGGAAUUCGAACAAACCUCUAUUUCUGUGAUUGAUAACUCUUCAAAUGGCUUAAUCUGUAGUUAUUGCUGAAAUUGUAACCAGGAAG